RNAcentral lists this ribosomal RNA (487 nucleotides) under uncultured bacterium. Its description in RNAcentral is "bacterial SSU rRNA". It matches the Rfam family "Bacterial small subunit ribosomal RNA", at positions 501 to 989 of the family's 1533-position model. The record is from RNAcentral.
CUACGUGCCAGCAGCCGCGGUAAUACGUAUGUCGCAAGCGUUAUCCGGAAUUAUUGGGCAUAAAGGGCAUCUAGGCGGCCAGACAAGUCUGGGGUGAAAACCUGCGGCUCAACCGCAAGCCUGCCCUGGAAACUGUUUGGCUAGAGUGCUGGAGAGGUGGACGGAACUGCACGAGUAGAGGUGAAAUUCGUAGAUAUGUGCAGGAAUGCCGAUGAUGAAGAUAGUUCACUGGACGGCAACUGACGCUGAAGUGCGAAAGCUGGGGGAGCGAACAGGAUUAGAUACCCUGGUAGUCCCAGCCGUAAACGAUGAUUACUGGGUGUGGGCAUGAAGAGUGUCCGUGCCGAAGCAAAUGCGAUAAGUAAUCCGCCUGGGGAGUACGGCCGCAAGGCUGAAACUCAAAGGAAUUGACGGGGACCCGCACAAGCGGUGGAGCAUGUGGUUUAAUUCGACGCAACGCGAGGAACCUUACCAGAUCUUGACAUCC